GACCUCAAAUCAGGUAAGAGUACCCGCUGAACUUAAGCAUAUCAAUAAGCGGAGGAAAAGAAAAUAACAAUGAUUCCCUUAGUAACGGCGAGUGAAGGGGGAUAAGCUCAAAUUUUAAAUCUGACUAGGUUUUACCUAUCAGAGUUGUAUUUUGAAGAAGCGUUUUCCGCGUCUCGGUUGGCCCAAGUCCUUUGGGAUAAGGUAUCAUGGAGGGUGAGAAUCCCGUUCGGUUGACCUUAUGACGCUUUACGAUACGCUCUCAAAGAGCCGAGUUGUUUGGGAUUGCAGCUCAAAAUGGGAGGUAAAUUUCUCCUAAGGCUAAAUAUCGGCGAGAGACCGAUAGCGAACAAGCACCGUGAGGGAAAGAUGAAAAGAACUUUGAAAAGAGAGUAAAAUAGUACGUGAAAUUGUUGAAAGGGAAACGAUUGAAG
RNAcentral lists this ribosomal RNA (431 nucleotides) under uncultured Glomus. RNAcentral's name for it is "eukaryotic LSU rRNA". It matches the Rfam family "Eukaryotic large subunit ribosomal RNA", at positions 1 to 428 of the family's 3401-position model. The record is from RNAcentral. Lineage: Eukaryota; Fungi; Glomeromycota; Glomeromycetes; Glomerales; Glomeraceae.